ACAUGUGUCUUGUCUGCUCUGCUGUGAAUCCGGUGACGAGCCGACAUCUGUGUCCUCUCUUCACAGCUUGGGAGACUCGAGACCAAGGAUAGCGUGCUGGUGCUUUGUACAGACGCCACACAUGAAUGUGAGUUCUCGAGUCUCUUUGAGUACCUCAGCUCCUGGGCCUGACUGCCACACCACGAGUCACCGUGAAAGACAGUGGUUUGAGGAGACUCCUCAGAUACUGUGUGAGCCCGGGCACUGCACUGGAAAAGACUGCAUUUGGAGCCCUUCAGAUGCAGAUGUGUGAAGACUUUGGAAGCGACAACUGGGGGACUAUGCGGCUUCUAUUGAUUGGAAAAACACACAGCCCGGGCCCUUUGCAUAUCACAAGUAGCAUUUUUUUUUUCUGGGUUUGAGCAGGUUUGGAAAGUCAGCCGCGGGGCCUCAGCGCCCCCUGUGAGCCGGAGACAGUAUUGCAAAGGAGCAGGGACAGGCAGAGGCUGAGGUGGCUGGCUGGAAGAGGCAGCACCCUGAAGGAUAGGUGAAAGGCAGGUGCACUCACUUGGUUUUCAUCCAUUGGAACGCUUGGGAGAAUCAACUCACCUUCUCUGUUGUCAGCAGCUUAUGGCCACUCAAACCCUUCUGACCAGGACACAUGCCCAACCUCCCAGAACCAAUUAGGAAAAACUGUAAACUUGGGGUACAGUCUUGAGCCUCACGAACAAGCUGUGUGAUUUGAAGGCCGGGAGACUUCUCGAUACACCACCACACCACUCCCACUCCACCUCAUGGUAGGUACUAGAACAUAAGGGCCAAUCCGAGGAUGGCCUCACAGACCAUCCGAAUGCCUUUGCCUGUACCAGCCUCCUUGCAUGUGAUGGAUGGACAGAGCCCCUCCCUGUUGCCUCUGAGUCCCAUCAGUGACAGAAAAGGUCACACAACACCAAAGACAAAAGGAUGCCCCUUGUGUGAACAGGUAUGGCCCCUGCCAUCUCCUGGGACCAGGAUCCUUUGAUGUGAGCUCCUAUGUUUGUGGCUCUGCCUGCUUGCAUCUGUGGACAAGCAGGAACAGAAUCCAGAUGUGCCAAUCUCCAGGCUGAAAAAAGGGGGGCUCUCUGCAAUGGUUCAUCCCUGGGGAGAUGCAGGAGAGUUCAGGAGCAAAGCAGGUGUCAAAGAGGGUCUGGUCCUUGCUGUCUGAACGUAGGCCCCAUCCAGCCCCAUCAACUCCUGAACUACUCACUCUCUCCCACCCCAUAUGUAGAGCUACCAAAGGCCAAGGACACAGAGUUAGGAUCUAGACUUGAAGUGAUUCCUCUUGACAUAUCAUGUGGACCUGGGCCUACCAGCUGUUCCUUUGGAGAACUAGGUCUCUGGCACUAUACCGUGAGACUAACAUCAAGGGUGCGUGUGCUGGUAAUCGGAGUAGGCAUCAUGUAUCAGCUCUGAAAGAUCGGGUAUCUGUGUACCUCUCUCUAUGCCCUGAGGCAUCUCUGGCUCUCUCAUGGGGAACUAGGCUGAGAGAGACCACAGCAUGCAGGGGUGACACGAGAUAGCUAGAGUGCCAUUCUCUAUGGCUCCAUAGCCAGGUAUAGCACAUUGCCACAGCAGUCUGCCUCCCUUUCUUCCAAGGGGUAUUCACAAUAUUCCCAAUUCUUUAUCUCCUUCUAAAUGGCUUCCCACAGACCAGACAACCAAGGGCAUCUCUAGGCUUCUGCUCGUUGACAGAGAACAAGCCUGGGGUGGCAGACAUGAUGAUCAGAGCAGAGCCCCAAAUGGAUGAGGGGUAACCUGUGGAUAACAUCUGUGAACAAGGUCAAGGACACCACAAUAUCAGGAUGUGGGAGAGGCACGGAACCCUACCAGACAACGCUUAAAACUAACCUUGCCUCUCCACCCUGAGUCCGGUGGGUGAACCUGACCCAGGAUUGGAUUGGAGGGUGUGUCACUCAAAAGGCCCUGGAGGAGACAGGAAACCUCAGGGGAGCAGAAACUCCCAUCUGGGGGUGGGGAGGAGGAGGCUGGAAGGGCAAGGGGGCUGUAAAGACUCCCAAGUGGAAGGUAGAAGGGGUGAGAGCUUAUGUUCUAAGCAGAUGUGGUUGUUCCCUGGGCUGUGGCUCUGUGGGAGAGAAGGCAUGAGAAAUAAAUCCAGUGAGACAGCAUGAGCAUAUGGACACACAGCUGGCCAGGCACAUCUGGGAUGGAGAACUGUGCUGCUCUAGGGGUCUCUAAGGGUCAGUGGGGACCUCCAGGGCAGCUUGGGGGGGUCAGCUUUCAGCUUCAUCGGGGGAAGAGAUGUUUGUGAGACACUUCCCAGCACUCAGGUCCCGGAAGAGGGACUCACAUGGGUCCCAGGACCCCAGCGUCCCAGAAGAUACCAUCAACAUUAGUGGGAUAGGAAGGGAUGCCCUGGAGAGUCCCACACCUGGAAUCAAGUCCAUUUUUGCCAUUGAUACAUAGAUUAUUGGGAAUUGGGGCAGAGCCACCGUACCCUUUACUCUGCUGUAUCCCCACAGCAGUUAAGCAGAUUAGCCUGGGAGAAUGAAGACAUGCCAGUGUUACAGGCUGGGGACCAGAUGUAAGGGGUCUCAGCCAUUAGUGAAGUCACAGCCACAGGAAGACAGCUCAGGAGCUCUUACAUGCAUGGUAACAAGCUGUAACCACGAAUCCAUGUUCUUCUGUUUGGAACUCAGGUGAGUUCCUAGAUUCACAUGGAGGACAGGGGGGUCUAAGUACCCUGCCUAAUGGAACCAGAGCCCAGGAAUCUACCCUGAGGUCAAGAUCAAAUCCCAGACUCCGCUCCAUGGACCCAACUUCACUGUGCAUCCAGAAAACCAGAGCUGUGCUUCGGAAAUUACCCAAAGCAACUAACUGUCCCAUUGAGGCUGAUUCUCUAACCUGGAUCCCAGAAAGUCACCUUCUCAGUACAAGACAAUGGCCCUAAGGGAAGAGGGUGACAGACCCUGGACUCCAGCAACUCACAUGAAGCAAGUCCUGUCAUGCAAAGAAAACUGAGCAGAAUACUAUCCUAGAGAACGGAUACCGUGAGGGCAGCCUGUGCGCAUGUGGGGCAUAGGAAGGGCACAGGUAUGGAAUCUUUUUAACUGGGGAGACGGGGGCCUAGAGAGGUGAAGUAACUUGUUCAGGUCUAUGUAACCCCCUUCACAUCCCUCUCACAUUAAGCCUCUACUCAAUGGGUCCCUGAUGCAUGGCAUGCUAGGGUGGCUACCAGGGUGGCUACCGGGGUAUCCAGCACCCCCUCUGAGGUCUCCCUUAGGACUAGGGGUAAAGUAACUGGGCUCUUCAGAUCCCAUUUUCCGCCUGUCAUGUGACUUCACAGUUCCUUUCAGAGAGGGGAUAGGACAAGGCUAUCCCAAGGCUUGGUAGCCAGCUCACACCAGACAAUGGAGGUUUGUCACCUCCACCAUCCUUGCCACCCAGCUAAGGAUAUGUGCCCCUCGUCUACUGAGAAAACUCUCUUACUCUAAGAGCUUAGUGGAGACGUGGCAGUUAAUUUACGGGAUAAACGGGACCAGAAGCACGCACCUCC
Molecule: long non-coding RNA, 3532 nt
Organism: Mus musculus (house mouse)
Lineage: Eukaryota; Metazoa; Chordata; Mammalia; Rodentia; Muridae
Product: predicted gene, 32405
Exons: 3
Source: RefSeq, a predicted model, not a curated record